This 607-nucleotide ribosomal RNA is filed under the name Marinobacter segnicrescens. Its description in RNAcentral is "bacterial SSU rRNA". It matches the Rfam family "Bacterial small subunit ribosomal RNA", at positions 35 to 633 of the family's 1533-position model. Lineage: Bacteria; Pseudomonadati; Pseudomonadota; Gammaproteobacteria; Pseudomonadales; Marinobacteraceae. The record is from RNAcentral.
GCUUGGGGGGAAGCGUUACCAUGCAAGUCGAGCGGUAACAGGGGGUGCUUGCACCCCGCUGACGAGCGGCGGACGGGAGAGUAAUGCAUAGGAAACUGCCCAGUAGUGGGGGAUAGCCCGGGGAAACCCGGAUUAAUACCGCGUACGCCCUUCGGGGGAAAGCAGGGGAUCUUCGGACCUUGCGCUAUUGGAUGUGCCUAUGUCGGAUUAGCUAGUUGGUGGGGUAAAGGCCUACCAAGGCGACGAUCCGUAGCUGGUCUGAGAGGAUGAUCAGCCACAUCGGGACUGAGACACGGCCCGAACUCCUACGGGAGGCAGCAGUGGGGAAUAUUGGACAAUGGGGGCAACCCUGAUCCAGCCAUGCCGCGUGUGUGAAGAAGGCUUUCGGGUUGUAAAGCACUUUCAGUGAGGAGGAAAACUCUGCGACUAAUACUCGUAGGGCUUGACGUUACUCACAGAAGAAGCACCGGCUAACUCCGUGCCAGCAGCCGCGGUAAUACGGAGGGUGCAAGCGUUAAUCGGAAUUACUGGGCGUAAAGCGCGCGUAGGUGGUUUGAUAAGCGAGAUGUGAAAGCCCCGGGCUUAACCUGGGAACGGCAUUUCGAAC